AGUGAACGCUGGCGGUAGGCCUAACACAUGCAAGUCGAACGGAAGGACAGUAAGCGCUUGCUCUUACGGGUGGCGAGUGGCGGACGGGUGAGGCAUACAUCGCAAACUAAUUUUUCGUGGAGGAUAACGUAAGGAAGCUUACGCUACUACCGAAUACGACGUACGGCUGGAAGCAGUGGUUCUUGGCGGCUUUCGCGUUUCUAUUAGCCGACGCCGCAUUAGCUUGUUGGCUGGGUAAGGGCCCACCAAGGCAACGAUCCGUAGCUGGUCUGAGAGGAUGAUCGGCCACACUGGAACUGAGACACGGUCCAGACUCCUACGGGAGGCAGCAGUGGGGAAUAUUGGACAAUGGGCGCAAGCCUGAUCCAGCCAUACCGCGUGAGUGAAGAAGGCCUUCGGGUCGUAAAGCCCUGUUGUUGGGAAAGAAAAGAAGCAGAUGAAUACACCGCUGUUCUGACGGUACCCAAAGAAUAAGCACCGGCUAACUUCGUG
Molecule: ribosomal RNA, 492 nt
Filed under: uncultured bacterium
Lineage: Bacteria
Description: partial 16S ribosomal RNA
Rfam family: Bacterial small subunit ribosomal RNA
Source: RNAcentral